GGACCCGUAGCUCAGCGGUAGAGCAUCUGAUUCCAGCUUCCUCUUUCGAAGGUCGGAAACAGCAUCCAGAAGGUCAUCCGUUCAAAUCGGGUCGGGUUCA
Molecule: non-coding RNA, 100 nt
Organism: Xylariaceae sp. AK1471
Lineage: Eukaryota; Fungi; Ascomycota; Sordariomycetes; Xylariales; Xylariaceae
Source: the annotation of a GenBank genome assembly